Molecule: transfer RNA, 73 nt
Filed under: Apaloderma vittatum (bar-tailed trogon)
Lineage: Eukaryota; Metazoa; Chordata; Aves; Trogoniformes; Trogonidae
Rfam family: tRNA
About the family: Transfer RNA (tRNA) molecules are approximately 80 nucleotides in length.
Source: Rfam by way of RNAcentral
GGCCGGUUAGCUCAGUUGGUUAGAGCUUGGUGCUGGUAACACCAAGGCUAUGGGUUCGAUCCCCAUUCGGUCC